AUUUAUAUAGUAUAAGUAUUAUUAUUGAUUUCCAAUCAAAAGAUCUAAUUUAUAAAUUAGUAUAAAUA
This 68-nucleotide transfer RNA is filed under the name Drepanocerus kirbyi. Its description in RNAcentral is "tRNA-Gly". The record is from RNAcentral. Lineage: Eukaryota; Metazoa; Arthropoda; Insecta; Coleoptera; Scarabaeidae.